RNAcentral lists this ribosomal RNA (484 nucleotides) under uncultured bacterium. RNAcentral describes it as "partial 16S ribosomal RNA". It matches the Rfam family "Bacterial small subunit ribosomal RNA", at positions 30 to 507 of the family's 1533-position model. The record is from RNAcentral.
AUUGAACGCUGGCGGAAUGCUUUACACAUGCAAGUCGAACGGCAGCACGGGGGCAGCCCUGGUGGCGAGUGGCGAACGGGUGAGUAAUACAUCGGAACGUGCCCGGUCGUGGGGGAUAGCGUAGCGAAAGUUACGCUAAUACCGCAUACGAUCUGAGGAUGAAAGCGGGGGACCUUCGGGCCUCGCGCGAUCGGAGCGGCCGAUGUCAGAUUAGGUAGUUGGUGGGGUAAAGGCCUACCAAGCCGACGAUCUGUAGCUGGUCUGAGAGGACGACCAGCCACACUGGGACUGAGACACGGCCCAGACUCCUACGGGAGGCAGCAGUGGGGAAUUUUGGACAAUGGGCGCAAGCCUGAUCCAGCCAUUCCGCGUGCAGGACGAAGGCCUUCGGGUUGUAAACUGCUUUUGUACGGAACGAAAAGGCUCUGGCUAAUACCUGGGGCUCAUGACGGUACCGUAAGAAUAAGCACCGGCUAACUACGUG